This 135-nucleotide small nucleolar RNA is filed under the name Propithecus coquereli (Coquerel's sifaka). The record is from RNAcentral. Lineage: Eukaryota; Metazoa; Chordata; Mammalia; Primates; Indriidae.
AGACGAGCUGUCCAAGGGCUGGGGCGGCCUCCACACAGCUGCGGUGGUCAAAAGGGGGCCCAGAGCGACAGUUCUUGCCGGUCACCGUUCUGUUUGCUGUAACUGAUCUAUACAACGUUUUGGGAAAAUACAGUU